GCGUGAGGAUCCGCGCGUCGCCUGGGACACUGAGCGAGGGUAGCGGCCAGGUCACCGGCUGAGGACACUGCCCCUGAAGCCCGGUCAGGCGGUCGCGCCCUCCCUGGCGGCCCCCGCGGCCUGGCAGGACCUGUGCCCCGACGUCGCCGACCCGCGGCGUCCGUCGGGCGAGUGGGCCUGCCCGCGGGUAAGGCGCCGGCCCUGGGCCGCCCUCCCGGGACUCGGGAGGCGCCGCUGCAGAGUCUCGGGGAACUCCAGCUCUGUUCCCCGGGCUGGAGUGCAGUGGCCCAAUCUCAGCCCACUGCAACCAACGCCUCCUCUGUUCAAGGGAUUCUCCUGCCUCAGCUUCCCAAGUAGCUUGGAUUACAGGU
This 371-nucleotide long non-coding RNA is filed under the name Homo sapiens (human). RNAcentral's name for it is "PREDICTED lncRNA (TCONS_00178718)". Lineage: Eukaryota; Metazoa; Chordata; Mammalia; Primates; Hominidae. The record is from RNAcentral.